RNAcentral lists this ribosomal RNA (431 nucleotides) under uncultured soil bacterium. RNAcentral describes it as "bacterial SSU rRNA". It matches the Rfam family "Bacterial small subunit ribosomal RNA", at positions 383 to 810 of the family's 1533-position model. The record is from RNAcentral.
GUGAACGAGCGACGCCGCGUGCGGGAUGAAGGGCUUCGGCUUGUAAACCGCUUUUCUUUGGGAAGAAGGCCUGGGUCGUGAACUUGGGUUUGACGGUACCGAAGGAAUAAGCCCCGGCUAACUCCGUGCCAGCAGCCGCGGUAAGACGAAGGUGGCAAGCGUUGCUCGGAAUCACUGGGCAUAAAGCGCGCGUAGGUGGCUUGGCAAGUCAGUGGUGAAAUCCCAUGGCUCACCCAUGGAACGGCCGCUGAUACUGCUAGGCUUGAGGACGGUAGGGGAGAGUGGAACUCCUGGUGUAGCGGUGAAAUGCGUAGAUAUCAGGAGGAACGCCGGUGGCGAAAGCGACUCUCUGGGCCGCUCCUGACACUGAGGCGCGAAAGCUAGGGGAGCAAACAGGAUUAGAUACCCUGGUAGUCCUAGCUGUAAACGAU